GAUGAACGCUAGCGGCAGGCCUAAUACAUGGCAAGUCAAGGGGUAGCAAUACACCGGCGGACGGGUCGCGUAACGCGUACACAACAUACCUUUAAGCGGGGAUAGCAUCGGGAAACUGGUGGUAAUACCCCAUAGUAUUGCGAUCCGGCAUUGGGUUGCAAUUAAAGUUCCGGCGCCUUAGAGAUUGGGUGUGCGUCUGAUUAGCUAGUUGGCGGGGUAACGGCCCACCAAGGCGACGAUCAGUAGGGGGUGUGAGAGCAUGACCCCCCACAUGGGUACUGAGACACGGACCCAACUCCUACGGGAGGCAGCAGUAAGGAAUAUUGGACAAUGGGCGGAAGCCUGAUCCAGCCAUGCCGCGUGAAGGAUGAAGGCGCUCAGCGUUGUAAACUUCUUUUGGAUGGGGACAAUAACUUUCAUUUAUGAGAGCUUGAGGGUACCAUCAGAAUAAGCACCGGCUAACUCCGUGCCAGCAGCCCGCGGUAAUGUCAGUGACU
Molecule: ribosomal RNA, 497 nt
Filed under: uncultured bacterium
Lineage: Bacteria
Description: bacterial SSU rRNA
Rfam family: Bacterial small subunit ribosomal RNA
Source: RNAcentral